GCUCUGUGAUGAACCCCAUGCGUGUCAUCUGAGCCUGGCUUCCCUGUCAUCUCAGCCCAGCUCCCAAAUACAUCAAGAUGUUUGUACUGGAUGAAGCUGAUGAAAUGUUAAGCCGUGGAUUCAAGGACCAGAUCUAUGACAUAUUCCAGAAGC
This 153-nucleotide small nucleolar RNA is filed under the name Moschus moschiferus (Siberian musk deer). Its description in RNAcentral is "Small nucleolar RNA SNORD10 (ENSMMSG00000011508.1)". It matches the Rfam family "Small nucleolar RNA SNORD10". Lineage: Eukaryota; Metazoa; Chordata; Mammalia; Artiodactyla; Moschidae. The record is from Rfam by way of RNAcentral.